RNAcentral lists this ribosomal RNA (508 nucleotides) under uncultured Glomeraceae. RNAcentral's name for it is "SSU rRNA". It matches the Rfam family "Eukaryotic small subunit ribosomal RNA", at positions 569 to 1078 of the family's 1831-position model. The record is from RNAcentral. Lineage: Eukaryota; Fungi; Glomeromycota; Glomeromycetes; Glomerales; Glomeraceae.
AGCAGCCGCGGUAAUUCCAGCUCCAAUAGCGUAUAUUAAAGUUGUUGCAGUUAAAAAGCUCGUAGUUGAAUUUCGGGAUCAAUAUUUCGGUCAUGCCGUUGGUAUGCACUGUUAUCAUUGAUUUCUCACCUUCUAAAGAACCGUAAUGCCAUUAAUUUGGCGUUACGGGGAAUUAGGACUGUUACCUUGAAAAAUUAGAGUGUUUAAAGCAGGCUCACGCUUGAAUACAUUAGCAUGGAAUAAUGAAAUAGGACAUCCGAUUCUAUUUUGUUGGUUUCUAGGAUCGAUGUAAUGAUUAAUAGGGAUAGUUGGGGGCAUUAGUAUUCAAUUGUCAGAGGUGAAAUUCUUGGAUUUAUUGAAGACUAACUACCGCGAAAGCAUUUGCCAAGGAUGUUUUCAUUAAUCAAGAACGAAAGUUAGGGGAUCGAAGACGAUCAGAUACCGUCGUAGUCUUAACCAUAAACUAUGCCGACUAGGGAUCGGAUGAUGUUAAUUUUUAAUGUACUCA